AUUUUGGACAAUGGGGGAAACCCUGAUCCAGCCAUCCCGCGUGUAAGAUGAAGGCCCUCGCGUUGUAAGGUACUCUUGGCAGAGAAGAAAAGGACUCCCCUAAUACGGGAUACUGCUGACGGUAUCUGCAGAAUAAGCACCGGCUAACUCCGUGCCAGCAGCCGCGGUAAUACGUAGGGUGCAAGCGUUAAUCGGAAUUAGUGGGCGUAAAACGUGUGUAGGCGGUUCGGAAAGAAAGAUGUGAGAUCCCAGGGCUCAACCUUGGAACUGAAAUUUUAACUGCCGAGCUAGAGUAUGUCAGAGGGGGGUAGAAUUCCACGUGUAGCAGUGAAAUGCGUAGAUAUGUGGAGGAAUACCGAUGGCGAAGGCAGCCCCCUGGGAUAAUACUGACGCUCAGACACGAAAGCGUGGGGAGCAAACAGG
This 423-nucleotide ribosomal RNA is filed under the name uncultured bacterium. Its description in RNAcentral is "partial 16S ribosomal RNA". It matches the Rfam family "Bacterial small subunit ribosomal RNA", at positions 361 to 776 of the family's 1533-position model. The record is from RNAcentral.